Molecule: long non-coding RNA, 448 nt
Organism: Oreochromis aureus
Lineage: Eukaryota; Metazoa; Chordata; Actinopteri; Cichliformes; Cichlidae
Source: Ensembl
CACGGAUAUGUGAAGAAUGAAGGGACCCUGCAGCGAAACGGAGAGCCAACCUCUGACUGAGUGCCUGUCUACACAUUCUGACCACCUGUUGAAGGGCUGUUUGAUGACGAUUUGGACUCCUAUGGGAGAUGAGGACACACCCACAUCUGUUCCAUACUGCAGCCAUUGAUGGUGUUACAGCUCUGAGUCAGAUUUGGGCCAUCAGACGCACACACUGGAAAACCAGCACCUGGACUUCAUGCAGGAGAGACGGCCUCAGUGAUAAUUCAUCAGCAGCUGUGGAGAGAUGCAUUUGAAUAUCUUCUGGUUCCACUUUUCCUUACCUGGAAGCUGAGUAUUGCUGAUUUCUGACAAGGACACAAACCUCAGUGCUUAUCGUGGGUGUUACAUCCUCUGUGCAGCAAUUCCAGAGAAAACGAGAGAGCAACGACCACUCAUUAAGACCAGC